Chelonoidis abingdonii (Abingdon island giant tortoise) is the source of this 104-nucleotide small nuclear RNA. The record is from Ensembl. Lineage: Eukaryota; Metazoa; Chordata; Testudines; Testudinidae.
UUGCUGUGGCAGCACAUAUACUAAAAUUGGAAUGGUACAGAGAAGAUUAGCACGGCCCCUGUGCAAGGAUGACACACAAAAUUAGUGAAGUGCUCCCUAUUUAG